RNAcentral lists this long non-coding RNA (332 nucleotides) under Parus major (Great Tit). RNAcentral's name for it is "lncRNA (ENSPMJG00000012817.1)". The record is from RNAcentral. Lineage: Eukaryota; Metazoa; Chordata; Aves; Passeriformes; Paridae.
CCUACAGCUACUGAGGUUUGACAUAACAUGCAUGGGCCAGAACUACCCACUGUAUUUUGUUCAUAGUCCAAACAAAACUGCUUGUUUGGUUCCUAGCUUUGGUUAAUUGUUCUGUCUCCUUUUCAGACUCCUUUUACCUUGUGAGAAGCAGUGCUGCCUUUACUACUGUUACAGGAAUGUCCCAAGCUCAAAGAUUUGUGCCACUAUCUGAAGAAUACCAGAUCAUGCUCAGCUCUCAGGAUCUUACUCUUCAGGUGUGCUGGGACUAAACACCAGCAAAGACAUAGUGCAAGGGGAGGCAGAAGAGACUAAGAUGAUACCAAAUACUUGAA